UUGGCCUUGACAUACUAAGAACUUUCCAGAGAUGGAUUGGUGCCUUCGGGAACUUAGAUACAGGUGCUGCAUGGCUGUCGUCAGCUCGUGUCGUGAGAUGUUGGGUUAAGUCCGCAACGAGCGCAACCCUUCUCCUAUUUGCCAGCGGGUUAAGCCGGGAACUUUAAGGAUACUGCCAGUGACAAACUGGAGGAAGGCGGGGACGACGUCAAGUCAUCAUGGCCCUUACGGCCAGGGCUACACACGUGCUACAAUGGUCGGUACAAAGGGUUGCUACCUCGCGAGAGGAUGCUAAUCUCAAAAAGCCGAUCGUAGUCCGGAUCGCAGUCUGCAACUCGACUGCGUGAAGUCGGAAUCGCUAGUAAUCGCGGAUCAGAAUGCCGCGGUGAAUACGUUCCCGGGCCUUGUACACACCGCCCGUCACACCAUGGGAGUUUGUUGCACCAGAAGUAGGUAGUCUAACCGCAAGGAGGACGCUUACCACGGUGUGGCCGAUGACUGGGGUGAAGUCGUAACAAGGUAGGCGUAGAUGA
Molecule: ribosomal RNA, 533 nt
Filed under: uncultured bacterium
Lineage: Bacteria
Description: bacterial SSU rRNA
Rfam family: Bacterial small subunit ribosomal RNA
Source: RNAcentral